AGGUCAUAUUUUGUUCAUCGAUUACAAAUCAAAAAUUUAUAAAUCACAAUUUAUUUAUCGAACAUAAAUUAACAAUAUUUAAAUCACACAUUAUUUCUUGUCACAAUUUAUCAAUUUCAUUGAUCACUUAUUGUUUAUUGUUCACGGAUUAACCAACAUAAUUUUCGCAACUAAUCAAAUAUUUGUAACCACUACCAACACCUGUGACCAUCAUCUCACAACUACCUCCAAUAGCAGCACCACCAUCGUCGUUGCCAGAUCCCACCACGUCCCAACAACAACAUCACCACCUCAAACAAAUCAACACAUUGUAGAAAAACAACACCACAUCGUCGUGCCAAAUCUACCACCACCCAAUAGACCUAUCACCACCAACAUCUCACUGCAUAGUACACCACUACCCUACCACUAUUGCAUCGCACCAACACUAUUGCCACAACAAUGAUCACGAACCACACCAAACUUCUACCGUUGACCACCACAAAUCACAACUCCACAGAUCUAUGCGGAGAAAUCAAAUUAUGAAAAAAUGAGAACUUGUUCGCCUCUGCCUCUACCUCAUACCAGCACCACCACCCCUUCUCUACCCCUACUCCAUUUGCAGCAUCACCCACUUGUCCAGAGCCAUCCAGAGAUAAAAUAGCCACCUGUGACUAGAGAUCUAAAACGUUGACCAUCUACCUCAACUUGCAGUGUUGCACGAAAGGUCCAUUAUGAGCAAUUGUUGCGCCAUUGAGCAUGAUUUAGUGAUAUUUUUUGAGGUUAUCUUCCUCCUUCGCUAAGCAACAGACGUCGUGAGCGAUCGCGUGGCUUCACGUCGUGUGAUUGGAUUUUUAAAGGUUUUUUAAAAAUAAAUUAUCAUUCGACGACGAGUGCUUGUGGUGUUGUAUCGGCCAAAGCAGCUUCUUCAUUGCUGGUUGUCAGAGUUUGAAUGGAUAGCCGACAUUUGAAAAGAGAUACAAGAGAGAAAGGAAGAGAGAGAAUGGAGAGAUGUGCAGAGAAGAGGGAAUGAAAAUAAUUAGGGUUG
RNAcentral lists this long non-coding RNA (1027 nucleotides) under Olea europaea (common olive). RNAcentral describes it as "long non-coding RNA (OEUR_LNC010773)". Lineage: Eukaryota; Viridiplantae; Streptophyta; Magnoliopsida; Lamiales; Oleaceae. The record is from RNAcentral.